RNAcentral lists this ribosomal RNA (495 nucleotides) under uncultured bacterium. RNAcentral's name for it is "partial 16S ribosomal RNA". It matches the Rfam family "Bacterial small subunit ribosomal RNA", at positions 28 to 507 of the family's 1533-position model. The record is from RNAcentral.
GACGAACGCUGGCGGCGUGCCUAAUACAUGCAAGUAGAACGCUGAAGGAGGAGCUUGCUCUUCUGGAUGAGUUGCGAACGGGUGAGUAACGCGUAGGUAACCUGCCUGGUAGCGGGGGAUAACUAUUGGAAACGAUAGCUAAUACCGCAUAAGAGUAGAUGUUGCAUGACAUUUGCUUAAAAGGUGCAAUUGCAUCACUACCAGAUGGACCUGUGUUGUAUUAGCUAGUUGGUGGGGUAACGGCUCACCAAGGCGACGAUACAUAGCCGACCUGAGAGGGUGAUCGGCCACACUGGGACUGAGACACGGCCCAGACGCCUACGGGAGGCAGCAGUAGGGAAUCUUCGGCAAUGGACGGAAGUCUGACCGAGCAACGCCGCGUGAGUGAAGAAGGUUUUCGGAUCGUAAAGCUCUGUUGUAAGAGAAGAACGAGUGUGAGAGUGGAAAGUUCACACUGUGACGGUAUCUUACCAGAAAGGGACGGCUAACUACGUG